CCGAAAUUUAAAAACUCACAACGCGAGUCUCGUGGCGGAAGCCAAAUAUGACUGCCGGAGACUUUGUUGACUCUUCAAGUCUUCCUUUGCUCAAGUCAAAACCACACUCGUGAAGCACAUGUGACGAGUUCUGUGGUGAGCAUCGGGAGCACUAGGCGUUUUCCUUCGGGAUUCACAGUCUAAAAAAACGAAUUGUAUAAGUAAUAUAUCAAAUAAAACUAAUAAAAAAAGACGGAAAAAAAAUCAA
RNAcentral lists this unclassified non-coding RNA (247 nucleotides) under soil metagenome. Its description in RNAcentral is "partial internal transcribed spacer 1". The record is from RNAcentral.